UAACCGGAUUAGAUACCCUGGUAGUCCACGCCCUAAACGAUGUCUACUAGUUGUCGGGUUUUAAUUAACUUGGUAACGCAGCUAACGCGUGAAGUAGACCGCCUGGGGAGUACGGUCGCAAGAUUAAAACUCAAAGGAAUUGACGGGGACCCGCACAAGCGGUGGAUGAUGUGGAUUAAUUCGAUGCAACGCGAAAAACCUUACCUACCCUUGACAUGUCAGGAAGUCUGGAGAGAUCUGGAUGUGCCCGAAAGGGAACCUGAACACAGGUGCUGCAUGGCUGUCGUCAGCUCGUGUCGUGAGAUGUUGGGUUAAGUCCCGCAACGAGCGCAACCCUUGUCAUUAGUUGCUACGAAAGGGCACUCUAAUGAGACUGCCGGUGACAAACCGGAGGAAGGUGGGGAUGACGUCAAGUCCUCAUGGCCCUUAUGGGUAGGGCUUCACACGUCAUACAAUGGUGCAUACAGAGGGCCGCCAACCCGCGAGGGGGAGCUAAUCCCAGAAAGUGCGUCGUAGUCCGGAUCGCAGUCUGCAACUCGACUGCGUGAAGUUGGAAUCGCUAGUAAUCGCGGAUCAGCAUGUCGCGGUGAAUACGUUCCCGGGUCUUGUACACACCGCCCGUCACACCAUGGGAGCGGGUUUUACCAGAAGUAGGUAGCUUAACCGCAAGGNGGGCGCUUACCACGGUAGGAUUCGUGACUGGGGUGAAGUCGUAACAAGGUAACCA
Molecule: ribosomal RNA, 727 nt
Filed under: uncultured Massilia sp.
Lineage: Bacteria; Pseudomonadati; Pseudomonadota; Betaproteobacteria; Burkholderiales; Oxalobacteraceae
Description: bacterial SSU rRNA
Rfam family: Bacterial small subunit ribosomal RNA
Source: RNAcentral